Syngnathus acus (greater pipefish) is the source of this 7655-nucleotide long non-coding RNA. RefSeq lists it as uncharacterized. NCBI's taxonomy places the organism in Eukaryota, Metazoa, Chordata, Actinopteri, Syngnathiformes, Syngnathidae. The record is from RefSeq and is a predicted model, not a curated record. The transcript is spliced from 3 exons.
CCUCAUCCAAUGGCCCUGCGCGAGUCUUCCACGUUUAUGCUGUAACAAGUGGAGUUUAAAACUAUUUCCACCUCAAUUUGUGGAAUUAAUGCCCAAAUUAGAAAAUGCAAAAAAGCACUUAGAAAAUGUUACACCGAGUCAUUCUGACUUUAUUUUUCAAUUUCUAUACAGAUCGCGCUAACCAAUCACGCAAUUCCAAAAAUAAAUAAACACAGACAGUGAGUGUGCUUCCAUGGAGAGAAAGAGUUAAAAAAAAAUCGAGAGACGCCUUUCUCUCACGUUCCGCGACAUCUAGCAUGCAGGCAAAAAAAAAGAGGAUUUAGAGACUUAUUUCUAAAAAAAAAAAAAAAAAAAGUGUCCUCUCAUCCGCAGAGCAGCUAGUGUGUCACAAUUCUGCAGGCCUGCGCCCACAUACACGCACGAACUGGAGCUCCGUGAAGAAGAUGAGGAGGAGGAUGUUCAAAUGGCAAGACGAGCAGCAAGAUUUCCACGCAGGAAGAAGAGCUGUUAUUGGAUCGCUAAAGUUGGAUUUCUCUCAGCGGUCAGCGCUCACCUGAGCAGCGGGGAUUUCUUUCUUUAUUCUUCUUCAAGACGCAGUGGCAUGUACAGGAGUUCUCUGACAAACAAACGGAUGCAAUUAAAUUCACUGUCAUCACACAUCAUCACUGAGGAAACAAGAAAGGAGAAGGAUGCACACAGGGCCAAGGACUGAAGGAGAAGAGGUCCACUCCCAAGGACACUAAAGUGAACUCUAACAUGACAGUCUUACUCAUUGCAUGAAGUGAGAUGUGUAUUAUGGGAUGCACUAAUACAAGACUUCAGGUACCUAUAGAAUAUUUGAUAUCGAGUGCACAUAUACAUGUUUGGAAUUUCGAUGAAAUGCAUUCUUCUUGUGAAAGUAUUGUUAAAAAUCACAUUUGAUAGAAGAUAGCAUUAUUAUUAUUAUUAUUAUUAUUAUGGUUGAAAGUGCCUAUGCUUUUGAAAAUGAAUUCAUUUUACUGAUAUGAGUAUUUGAAUUAUUAACAGUUGUUAUCAUUCAAACAGUAAUAAUUGUAACAAUUCUCAAUCUUUUAAUGCCAAAAAAUGGGUUUACCUAUAACAAAUACAAAGACCAUAAGAGAGAAGUGAUUGGGCUUCACUAUCACAACUUUUUUUUGCAUAUUAAUAAAAACAUUUAUAAUAAAAUAUUAAUAUGUUGAUGUAUAAUAUUUCUGUAUAAGUUACUGCGCAAUUUGUGUGCAUAUAUGUGUUAUUUAAGUUGUAUGUUGCAACAAUGUGUUUGCGAUGUCUUAGCAUUAAGCUAGCUAAGAUGGAACGUGAUUGCCUGAAUGCAGCAUAUUUAUUUAGUUCUCUUUAUUGUUUGCUUAAUUUUACAGCAAGCAUCAACGAUAAAUGCCUUGAAGCAAGCAAAUGUCAACUCUUUUUGAAAAAUUAGCUUCUUGCCAAACUGCACACUUAUGGAAGACAGAAUAGUAUUGUACGGACAUAUAUGCAGGCUGGUAUUGGACGUCAGAGAAUCGGAGAGUUGAAUUUCAGAUGUGGAGUAUCGGUGCAUCCCAAGUGUGUUACGCAGUGAGUGGAAAUGUGUUUGCAAACACAGGCUUGAAUUGCACCUUGCCUCUGUAGGCGUCCUGCGUGCACGUAGAGGUGUGUGCACGGCGUGCGAAAAGCUGCCCUGCAGACCGGACCUGUGGAGUCUUCAAAGGAAGAGGAAGUCAAUGUAGGGUGGGGGGUGGAUUUGUUCUGGCUUAUUUGGAAACCUGGGAUUUGAAUUGGAUUCUGGGAGGCAUUCAUAACACAUUUGAAAACGUUACAUUGUGAGAUUUCAUGUUUAAUCCCCAUCAUAAUGUAUUUUGGGGGGGAAUGGUCACAGCGCUUGAUUCAUCAAAUGUUUUUUUUUUUUUUAUGAGUGGUGGGGGCCUGUGAGCUUUUGCAGAGCUCCUGAAGAUCAGACUCUUCCCACUUUAACCUUCCUCUCCACUGUGUUUUGUUGAUCUGACCUGGAUGUAUGAUGGGGUCAGUGUAAAAAAAAUAAUGACCAUGAAUAGCAAUACUUUUUUUUUUCGUAAAAAAGAUCAUGUGUAGUAAGGCUUUUAUUCGUAAAAAACAAUGACAUGCAAAAAGUUCUUGAUAGAAAUCAGGAUUCAACACUCUUGUCGCUCAAUGAGGUCGUCAAAUUAUUAGAGACAGAUUGCAGUAUAAAUAUUUAUUUGCUCAAAGUACAAGUAAAAAAAAAAACUUAAUGAAGUACCCAAUUUUGAUGGUUUCAGUACUUUUAAAUCAGUCAUGCACAAAAUCUGGGUGUGUUUAUGUGCAUGUGUGUUAUGGUUCCCCAUCCAAAGCCCACUUUGCUUUGAAUGACACUUUGGCGAUGCCCCCAGCAUCCCUCUUGGACAUCUCAAGUGUACCCCCUGUUAGUGGCAACAGUGCCAAUUCCUCCCCACUCUUUAAUAUCUCUCUUUGGGUCCUCUCUGGCUUUCACCAGUGAAGGCUCCUCCGUGACAGUUGGACAUCGUCGUCGCUUCUCGGGAGACAGCGGCGGGUGCGUUCCCAGCCUCGGGCCCGCGGGGAAUCUGCGAUGGCUCGCCUGUCAGUCGGCCCCUCCCCUGCAAUUAGGAGAGUAAACACAGCGCUGGGAGACAAGAGGAGGGAACGGCGGAGGGCGGGGAGGGGGGCCUUGACGCUCCUGUCCUACUGCUGCUUGAGUUGUCCAUCAGCAGCUUUGGAUAGAGAGAAAUAUUCAUCAGAUGAUGUUGAACGAGACAUUUAGGAACUGGCUAAUGAACGUGAAUCCGUUGAUGGAGUUGAAUGCUCAAGUCAAAAGAAAUGUGGAGUGUAAAUGGUUAAAGGUGUAAUCAUUUCAAAUAUCCUGAACAACGAGCAAAAAAAGAGGCAACAUGAGAACAAUGCUAUUGUAUUGACAUAUGAGCGUGUUUGUUUUCUAUCAGACAAUCACAAUACAAAGCAGCCUCACCUCCAACCCCCCCCUCCCACCCCUCCCUUCUCUUCUUCUUCACCUCUCUCCUGGUUGCUGGGGGAACUGGCCAGUGGCUUCUGGAAUUUGGUGUGGGCCGGACUUGUAAAGCACAGAGCUCAGGACCAGCUUAGUGGUGGUGGGCCACCCCAACUGUCCUGAAGCCCCUCCACUCUCCCCGGGCAAGGAGGCCGGCUAGGGAAUGACACGUCGGAGAGGGGAGGAAUGUUUGUGGGAAGACCUGCCAGCAAAGUGCCAUGCGGCGAGCGACUGACAUCCUACACUGACAAGAAGAGAUCUUGGCCAAUGGAAGCUCAUCCCGUCAGUGUCAUUGAGCUUACGGAAGAUGCUGCUUGUCACACACGCAGACACAGUGGCACCACAUCUGACUGCUGAGACCUUUGUGACUUAAAAUGUGCCCCUCUCCAACAGAAUGGACCAAAUAUUGUGCAUGGUUAGUUUCAAUGGAGCUCACUCAAGUGUACAUCAACCACCAUCUGUCUCCAUUACGCGAGCAUGAUCACAUGCGCUAGUUUCUGUGUAAGUACAUUUUAAAUCAGAUGGUGUGCAUCAGUGUGUACAUGUGGUGGACAGGGAGAGCGCAAACGGAGGGGUCCCGGUGCCAUCGCCAAAUUUUUUUUUUUUUUUUACGUGGACCAGAGAGCCAUGCUGCAGCAUCAUGGUCCACAGCAUGCAAAGACAAGGGGGCAGAUGGGUGCAGUGUAGCAGCACAACCCCCCCCUUCUCCUCCCAAAUGUGAGGCAGCAGUGGUGGGAAUGGCACCGAAUGAGAGGGAGCGCGGAUCCAUGGCUGAGAGGGGGAAAAAAAACUGUUGGAGCGCUAUUCGGGUUCGCUUUGAAAUCCAACUACGGGGGCACGAGCCCAGGGAGGAGAGGCAGCCUGCUUAGACAGGCAGUCACCGUGCUGGGCCAGCGUCCAGCCCGGGCCCCCUCCCAGCCCAGACAAGCCCGUCUGGCCCGAGCUUACGGGAGUCAGGCGGCUGACCCCCGGUGGACCGGCCGGAGCCCAAUAUUACCGGGGACCCUCUCAGAGACUUUCCAUUUCCAAACAGCAGCACGGCACCUUGGAGUGGGGGUGAAAGGGGGAAUCGGGGGGGCUCCUCCAGCACGCAGGUCUCUGGAUGGGCGCCCGGUGUAGUCUGUCGCUGAUGAUAACCCCCACCUCGCUACCAGGCCAUUCAGCCUUCAGGGCCUGUGCAGGUCCACACGUCACCAUGGCAACAGUGGCAUGGCAAUGUGAGUGGGCAGGAAGCCAGGUGGUGCCAAAUUGGGAUGAAGGAGGACAUUUUGGGGCGACUUCGUAAUCCUUAAACCUUCAUAUGUUAGCUAAUAACUUCACCAGACCAUUUAAAAAACAUCUUACCAAAUGGAAAAUAAUGGAAAUGAAACCAAUAUUACCAAACUUUAUAACUACAGUAUGUAAACAAUCAUUUUCUGCGUGACAUCCUGCACAAUGAAACUUUGACCUGAGUAUUUUUGCUCUACUUUUAAAAAACUUAUUUGUGACCAAAUAUUAUGGUGAGAUUCCAAAGUGUCUAAACUCUUUAGUAGCUUGAUGGGAUUUGGUGACACUCUGCAUUACUUUGUAACCUCCCACUUCUUUUUACAGGCACUAAAAACCAUCCUACAGUUUGUUUUGCAUGUUUAAAAUGAAAACCUUGCGGAAAGAAUUGACCUGAUACAUUGCUCGUGUGUUUAAAGAGACUUUGUCACUGCAACAUUAAGCUUGCGUAAACACAAGUAAGUUCAACGACAUUCACAGCAGCCACCUAAAGUUGACUCCACGCCCACUCUAAGCCACUGGGAAGACUCUGUAAGUGGCGGGGCCGCUGUUUACUGAAAGUGGAUAUCUGCUGUUUGUUUUCUUGUUCUGCUCCCCGACUGUAAACAGCGCCUGGAUUUUCUUGAGUGCUGUCUUAAAACGUGCAUGUUGGUGCGUGUGCGCCAUGUGUUAUAUUUGCUGAUAACAGGAUUUACUCCAAUUGCGACUCACCAGUUGAGAAAGGUUAAUUGUCGGCGCAAUCGGUAGAAUGGCGACAUGCAAUAAUUAUUAGCCCGAGUUGCUUUAUUAUUUAGGGAUGCUAAUUAGGCAUUAACAAUGCUCUCCUUUUUGGAUCACAACUUCAAUUGAGUGUCGAUUUGCGUGAAGUUUACUUUGACAUCCAUUCAUCAAACUAAAGGAAUGUUGUUUUGUAGAUGUCCUUACUGUGCUUAUGAUUAUAAAACUGAAGAGUUAUUGAUCCCAAAAUUAGCAGAGGGAUUUGGAAAGAUUGCUCCGUGGAGUGCUUCUUCGUUUUAGUCCGUAUAAGAACAAUGCAUUUUCAUGAUUUUUUUUUUGCUGGUUUUAAUGGUUUGGUAAUUCUAGUGCACAUCAAAGAGUGUUUAAUACAAUAAUGCAAAAGUGGAGGGGGAAAAAAAGCACUUGAGCAGAGAUUUGAAGUCUAUUCUCAGUUAUUGCUCCGCUCAGAGAGCGAGAGUGUGUAUUUUGUGCGCCACCCAUGUGGAUGAGUGUGGCAGCAAGACGAGGUGGAAAGUGACAUGGAACGAAAGCAAGAGAUCAAGGCAUGGCUGCCAGUGCAUGUCAUUGGCCUACACUCUCAUCAAAUAGCCCCGUGCUGCUUGUGUUGCUGCCCAGACGCAAAUUAAUUUGGACGCAUGGAAAGACUGCAGAGUUGGAGACUCAUCUCUGCCCUUUAAAAAGAAAAGACACCAGCGGAGCGCACUCCUCCAGCAAAGGGGGUGUGUGACGAUGGCUUUCAGUGGACUGUCUGGAAUAAGAUGGGAGGGAACAGAGGACAUGCUUGAAUGUGCUUGUCCUGCUAUGAUGACAAGAUGGCUCAGGCACCGCUGUGCCACCGGCCAACCGGGCCCUCCCCCCUUGUGUUCCCCCUCAGGACAGCAGUGAGGUGGAAGGGAGAGGCGAGGGAGUGGACGAUUUAUGGUUAGCCGCCGUUUAAUCUCUUCUUUGGCUCACAGCAGAUUCUUUCACGACAUACCCGACUCCCUCUUUAGUCCAAAUCUGGACCGACUCAUCUCGAGGUGGGCUUCAUAUGACGGCAAGGGGGCUCACUUGACCAACUCUGAAAUUGAACAUGACUCUUUUCACACAGGCCAAAGUGAAUGCCUUGUGAGUAAAGAUGUGCAUUUGCCGUAGUACUAAGGUCAGUUUGUUUAAAGACCACUAAAGAAGUAAAACAGUUCAUUCAGGUGGACAAAGAAGUCCACCACUAUAAAUUUGGAUUACAGGCAAUGACACAAUUAAAGUUGACCAUAGCUGCUUUAUGGCUCUACUCUACUGUGCUGUAGUUUUUGUCCUAUAAUCCAGAGAUGUCAAUUUUUGGUGAAUGCAAAAAGGCAUCAGGGAGGCCUAACCUGAACCCCUAACCUUAAAACUAACCCUAAUCCAUAACCCAAACCCCUAAUUCCCUAAACCUACCCCCAACCCAAACCCGAAUUCUAACACUAAUCCAACCUCAACUUCAUUUCCUGUUGACCUCUUCCCUGAUAGUAAAAAAACAACAACAAAGGGUUAGUAGUAGGAUUAGGAUUAACCAACCCGAUGCAAAAUCUUGUGCUGAGAGGAUGCAAUCAAAGAAUUUUAAUUUAUAAGAAAUUCAAAACAAUUUCACUUUCUUUUUCCACAUUCAAAUUUGAUGGCAAGAAUGAUGAUUUGUUGAAUGUUAGUGUUCAGUGUUGACAUUGGAUAUUUACUAAUCUGGCUAUUUAUGCUUUCGUGUCAUUGUAGUUUACCUCAACCAGUCGUUGAUACUUUGUUGAAGAGGAGCAGUUGAAAGCGAGAGGAUGAUCAUUUUUUUCAUGAAGGAAUAAGACAACUUUUAUGUACCUUUACUUUGAACAGCAGUUGAUUUACGGGCUGGCUGGAGUUUAAGAGUUGGCCAAGGAAGGGGCUUGGGGGGGCAUCUUUCGCUUCAGCGGACCCUCGUCAGCAUGUCGUUAACCUCCCAGGGCUAAGGGGGGAAAGAAAAUCAGGCCUGUGUGUAUGCUUAAAAGUCAGGGUUUGUUUGUAAGGUGCCUGGGGAGGUCUGGACCCCCCUGCUGGAGGACAAGGUAACAAAACAGCAGCAUGCUAACUGAGGGGGUGGGACUCACCGGGGGCUUAAGCAGCCCCCUGCAUGCUAUCUUAAGUCGCUUCAGUGAAGUCUUACACAAUUGUUUGGAAACAACAACAAAAAAGAAAACUUUCAUGACUUUAGUAUAAGUUUUUUUGUAAUGAUUAUGGAUUGCUCAUAAGAUAUUAUAUGUUUGUUAAUGUGUUUGUUCAGUGAGUUUGUUAAAUUACCUAAAUUUGAUUUCAUUUUAGUUAACAGAUACUCCAUUGUCGGGCUCAAUUGUUUUUUGGUAUUUAAUGUUAAGAAAUAAUAACUACUUAGUUUUCAGUCAGGCACAUUUUUUAAACUGAAAAUAUUUGGAGUGUUUUUAUUUGGUGUUUUCUGUAUGAGCUUAGCUUGUCACGUGUUCUUCCAAAUUUAUAAAUUCAGUAAAGGCACAACUGUAUGUUAUUCUUGCAUUAUUUGUUUGGCAGGCUUAGGUGACAAUAAUAUUUUUUUUUGACAUAACCAAGGUACCUCAAGUUGUCAUGUGUAAAACUUUAUAUGAGAACGUACAUCUGCCAUGAUCCAAUAUCAAAAGUGAAAUGGAAA